This is a non-coding RNA of Octopus bimaculoides (California two-spot octopus), 135 nucleotides long. The record is from Rfam. Lineage: Eukaryota; Metazoa; Mollusca; Cephalopoda; Octopoda; Octopodidae.
UUAUUUGUGCAAAGAUAGUUCCAUAGCCAAUGGAGGUUAACUGAGGCAUGGUUACUGCCAGUUGAAGACUAAUAUUAUCUCAUUCUGUUUUAUUUACUUAAUAGGGAAGCAUUUACAAACUGUUCACUGAUUAGU